UGGCUCAGACGGUAAAGCGUCUGCCUACAAUGCGGGAGACCCAGGUUCGAUCCCUGG
This 57-nucleotide transfer RNA is filed under the name Odocoileus virginianus texanus. It matches the Rfam family "tRNA", at positions 8 to 63 of the family's 71-position model. Rfam says of the family: Transfer RNA (tRNA) molecules are approximately 80 nucleotides in length. Their secondary structure includes four short double-helical elements and three loops (D, anti-codon, and T loops). Further hydrogen bonds mediate the characteristic L-shaped molecular structure. tRNAs have two regions of fundamental functional importance: the anti-codon, which is responsible for specific mRNA codon recognition, and the 3' end, to which the tRNAs corresponding amino acid is attached (by aminoacyl-tRNA synthetases). tRNAs cope with the degeneracy of the genetic code in two manners: having more than one tRNA (with a specific anti-codon) for a particular amino acid; and 'wobble' base-pairing, i.e. permitting non-standard base-pairing at the 3rd anti-codon position. RNAcentral also lists the same sequence under 10 other names. Lineage: Eukaryota; Metazoa; Chordata; Mammalia; Artiodactyla; Cervidae. The record is from Rfam by way of RNAcentral.